This 491-nucleotide ribosomal RNA is filed under the name uncultured bacterium. RNAcentral describes it as "partial 16S ribosomal RNA". It matches the Rfam family "Bacterial small subunit ribosomal RNA", at positions 28 to 523 of the family's 1533-position model. The record is from RNAcentral.
GACGAACGCUGGCGGCGUGCUUAACACAUGCAAGUCGAGCGGUAAGGCCCUUCGGGGUACACGAGCGGCGAACGGGUGAGUAACACGUGGGUGACCUGCCCUCCACUUCGGGAUAAGCCUGGGAAACUGGGUCUAAUACCGGAUAGGACCACUGGAUGCAUGUCUGGUGGUGGAAAGUUUUUUCGGUGGGGGAUGGGCCCGCGGUCUAUCAGCUUGUUGGUGGGGUGAUGGCCUACCAAGGCGACGACGGAUAGCCGGCCUGAGAGGGUGAUCGGCCACACUGGGACUGAGACACGGCCCAGACUCCUACGGGAGGCAGCAGUGGGGAAUCUUGCGCAAUGGGCGGAAGCCUGACGCAGCAACGCCGCGUGAGGGAUGACGGCCUUCGGGUUGUAAACCUCUUUCGCGAUCGACGAAGGCCCUCCUUGUUGGGGGGUUGACGGUAGGUCGAGAAGAAGCACCGGCCAACUACGUGCCAGCCGCCGCGGUAA